ACAACAUUUGGACCGUCAGUCUACCGAGCAAUAUCACCUGCUCGGUGGAAGAUCUUUGCUACGUAUA
This 67-nucleotide microRNA precursor is filed under the name Bombyx mori (domestic silkworm). RNAcentral's name for it is "mir-2774 microRNA precursor family". It matches the Rfam family "mir-2774 microRNA precursor family". The record is from Rfam by way of RNAcentral. Lineage: Eukaryota; Metazoa; Arthropoda; Insecta; Lepidoptera; Bombycidae.